CUCUGGAAUGACGCGUACUGACCUUCGUCGGCCGCCAUCCUUGCAGCUUCGGAGGCUGCAGCCAGAUGUUGAGGUGCGGCCUCGGGGCUGUGGACCGUAAGGCAGUGUUUAGAGAAGUGAUUCCAUGAUUUGUCUCCAGCGGGAAGACGGAGGUCAGUGGUCAGAUCAGUGUCUGGUUCCGAGCGUGUUUCGAGACCACGUUGAGCAUUUUUGUCAUCUGCAAAUCAUUUUGGUCAAGUGGCAAGGGUAUGGACUGUGGAGUAAGAAGAGCCUGCUUCUGCCUCUGGUUCUAAUCUACAGGAACAAGAUAUUUUUAGUACUAGAAGAAGAAGGUUCCAGGUUUUGGGAGAUCAUCAUUUCUGGCAGCAGCCUGACCUGA
This 379-nucleotide long non-coding RNA is filed under the name Rhinolophus ferrumequinum (greater horseshoe bat). RNAcentral's name for it is "lncRNA (ENSRFEG00010009992.1)". The record is from RNAcentral. Lineage: Eukaryota; Metazoa; Chordata; Mammalia; Chiroptera; Rhinolophidae.